Long non-coding RNA from Saccostrea cuccullata (small rock oyster), 325 nucleotides. RefSeq lists it as uncharacterized. The transcript is spliced from 5 exons. Lineage: Eukaryota; Metazoa; Mollusca; Bivalvia; Ostreida; Ostreidae. The record is from RefSeq and is a predicted model, not a curated record.
UAGCUAUUCCAGUUGACGCCAUUUUACACUAAGGACGACAACUCUCGCUGACUACCUGACGGCCAUAUUGGAUGAGAUUGUGGGUCAGUGCAGACGGGUUCACAUAUCAUCUGUGAAAGUGGCAGUUACUCUGAAAGAAUUUUCCAUACAAGGUUCUGUACUGGAAUGAUACCGAGAAGACGGACAGCAGCAUAUUUGAGCUAACAGAAAGAGAAAUCAAUACAGACAUCAAAGAAGGGAAUUUAUUUUUCAAAGACACAGGAGCAAAAUUGGAUCACAGUUAUAGCACAUUUUGAAGCAGACUAUAAGGUGGAAUAGCUACUUA